UGGGGAAUAUUGGGCAAUGGGCGAAAGCCUGACCCAGCGACGCCGCGUGGGUGAUGAAGGCCUUCGGGUUGUAAAGCCCUGUCAUGCGGAAAGAACAGUCUCAUGGCUAAUAUCCAUGAGAUUUGACGGUACCGCAGGAGGAAGCACCGGCUAACUCCGUGCCAGCAGCCGCGGUAAUACGGAGGGUGCAAGCGUUGUUCGGAAUUAUUGGGCGUAAAGGGCGCGUAGGCGGUAAUGAAAGUCAGAUGUGAAAUACUUCGGCUCAACUGAAGAACUGCAUCUGAAACUUCAUAACUAGAGUACGGAAGAGGGAAAUGGAAUUCCCGGUGUAGAGGUGAAAUUCGUAGAUAUCGGGAGGAACACCAGUGGCGAAGGCGAUUUCCUGGUCUGGUACUGACGCUGAGGCGCGAAAGUGUGGGGAGCAAACA
Molecule: ribosomal RNA, 428 nt
Filed under: uncultured prokaryote
Description: bacterial SSU rRNA
Rfam family: Bacterial small subunit ribosomal RNA
Source: RNAcentral